GGAGAGGUCGCAUAGUGGUUUAGUGCGCUCGCCUGGAACGCGGGUUGAUCCGCAAGGGUCUCGAGGGUUCGAAUCCCUUCCUCUCCGCCA
Molecule: transfer RNA, 90 nt
Filed under: Candidatus Peregrinibacteria bacterium
Lineage: Bacteria; Candidatus Peregrinibacteriota
Description: tRNA-Ser
Rfam family: tRNA
About the family: Transfer RNA (tRNA) molecules are approximately 80 nucleotides in length. Their secondary structure includes four short double-helical elements and three loops (D, anti-codon, and T loops).
Source: RNAcentral